UUGAAUAAAUCUGGCGUGGUUGUAGCUGACUCUCCGGAGUAUGUGCUCGCCCCGUCACCUUUAUCUUUCCACCUGUGCACACACUGUAGUCCUGGAUACCUCUCGUCGAAAGGCGGAUACAGGGGUUGCCGUGCUUCCGCAAGGAGGUCGGCUCCCUCUGAAUUUCCAGGUCUAUGACCUCACACACACCCCAAACGAAUGUUACAGAAUGUUAAUCAAUGGGCCUUGUGCCUAUAAACCUAUA
This 244-nucleotide unclassified non-coding RNA is filed under the name uncultured Psathyrellaceae. Its description in RNAcentral is "sequence contains ITS1". Lineage: Eukaryota; Fungi; Basidiomycota; Agaricomycetes; Agaricales; Psathyrellaceae. The record is from RNAcentral.